Molecule: non-coding RNA, 76 nt
Organism: Myotis davidii
Lineage: Eukaryota; Metazoa; Chordata; Mammalia; Chiroptera; Vespertilionidae
Source: Rfam
GGUGGUUCUCAGAUGGUGCACCCUGGAAUUGGGCUCCCUCCUCUCUGGCUCUGGGGUGCAUCACCCAAGACCCGCU